CAAACCACCCUAAACACAUUUCAUCUCACCUGAUUUUGAAAGCCUAGAAAGUUUGGACUUGGUCUGUACUUGGAUGGGAGACCACCAGGGAAUACCAGUU
RNAcentral lists this ribosomal RNA (100 nucleotides) under Pogona vitticeps (central bearded dragon). Lineage: Eukaryota; Metazoa; Chordata; Lepidosauria; Squamata; Agamidae. The record is from RNAcentral.